GGGGGGGGACUUUUUUUUCCUUUGUCUAUUAGUUUUUUGACGAUUUCUAAGUUUAAUCAUUUUUCCCUUUUAAUUUUCAUUAAUUUUUAAUUUUUUUAGCAAAUUACUUCUCGUCUAAUCAUUUAAAAUCCACGUGUAUGAGCCUUGUACUAAUUAUCCAAUUUUUAACAAAUCAAAUAAUUACAGGAUGGCAAACUUAACAUUCCCUGCUAGCUUAU
RNAcentral lists this long non-coding RNA (218 nucleotides) under Gossypium raimondii (Peruvian cotton). RNAcentral describes it as "long non-coding RNA (GRAI_LNC002961)". The record is from RNAcentral. Lineage: Eukaryota; Viridiplantae; Streptophyta; Magnoliopsida; Malvales; Malvaceae.